This 1288-nucleotide ribosomal RNA is filed under the name Micrococcus sp. Its description in RNAcentral is "bacterial SSU rRNA". The record is from RNAcentral. Lineage: Bacteria; Bacillati; Actinomycetota; Actinomycetes; Micrococcales; Micrococcaceae.
UGCAGUCGAACGAUGAAGCCCAGCUUGCUGGGUGGAUUAGUGGCGAACGGGUGAGUAACACGUGAGUAACCUGCCCUUAACUCUGGGAUAAGCCUGGGAAACUGGGUCUAAUACCGGAUAGGAGCGCCUACCGCAUGGUGGGUGUUGGAAAGAUUUAUCGGUUUUGGAUGGACUCGCGGCCUAUCAGCUUGUUGGUGAGGUAAUGGCUCACCAAGGCGACGACGGGUAGCCGGCCUGAGAGGGUGACCGGCCACACUGGGACUGAGACACGGCCCAGACUCCUACGGGAGGCAGCAGUGGGGAAUAUUGCACAAUGGGCGCAAGCCUGAUGCAGCGACGCCGCGUGAGGGAUGACGGCCUUCGGGUUGUAAACCUCUUUCAGUAGGGAAGAAGCGAAAGUGACGGUACCUGCAGAAGAAGCACCGGCUAACUACGUGCCAGCAGCCGCGGUAAUACGUAGGGUGCGAGCGUUAUCCGGAAUUAUUGGGCGUAAAGAGCUCGUAGGCGGUUUGUCGCGUCUGUCGUGAAAGUCCGGGGCUUAACCCCGGAUCUGCGGUGGGUACGGGCAGACUAGAGUGCAGUAGGGGAGACUGGAAUUCCUGGUGUAGCGGUGGAAUGCGCAGAUAUCAGGAGGAACACCGAUGGCGAAGGCAGGUCUCUGGGCUGUAACUGACGCUGAGGAGCGAAAGCAUGGGGAGCGAACAGGAUUAGAUACCCUGGUAGUCCAUGCCGUAAACGUUGGGCACUAGGUGUGGGGACCAUUCCACGGUUUCCGCGCCGCAGCUAACGCAUUAAGUGCCCCGCCUGGGGAGUACGGCCGCAAGGCUAAAACUCAAAGGAAUUGACGGGGGCCCGCACAAGCGGCGGAGCAUGCGGAUUAAUUCGAUGCAACGCGAAGAACCUUACCAAGGCUUGACAUGUUCUCGAUCGCCGUGGAGAUACGGUUUCCCCUUUGGGGCGGGUUCACAGGUGGUGCAUGGUUGUCGUCAGCUCGUGUCGUGAGAUGUUGGGUUAAGUCCCGCAACGAGCGCAACCCUCGUUCCAUGUUGCCAGCACGUAAUGGUGGGGACUCAUGGGAGACUGCCGGGGUCAACUCGGAGGAAGGUGAGGACGACGUCAAAUCAUCAUGCCCCUUAUGUCUUGGGCUUCACGCAUGCUACAAUGGCCGGUACAAUGGGUUGCGAUACUGUGAGGUGGAGCUAAUCCCAAAAAGCCGGUCUCAGUUSGGAUUGGGGUCUGCAACUCGACCCCAUGAAGUCGGAGUCGCUAGUAAUCGCAGAUCAGCAAC